Molecule: ribosomal RNA, 1244 nt
Filed under: 'Prunus persica' phytoplasma
Lineage: Bacteria; Bacillati; Mycoplasmatota; Mollicutes; Acholeplasmatales; Acholeplasmataceae
Description: bacterial SSU rRNA
Rfam family: Bacterial small subunit ribosomal RNA
Source: RNAcentral
GAAACGACUGCUAAGACUGGAUAGGAAAAGUAAAGGCAUCUUUACUUUUUUAAAAGACCUUCUUUGAAGGUAUGCUUAAGGAGGGGCUUGCGACACAUUAGUUAGUUGGCAGGGUAAAGGCCUACCAAGACUAUGAUGUGUAGCUGGACUGAGAGGUUGAACAGCCACAUUGGGACUGAGACACGGCCCAAACUCCUACGGGAGGCAGCAGUAGGGAAUUUUCGGCAAUGGAGGAAACUCUGACCGAGCAACGCCGCGUGAACGAUGAAGUACCUCGGUAUGUAAAGUUCUUUUAUUAAGGAAGAAAAAAGAGUGGAAAAACUCCCUUGACGGUACUUAAUGAAUAAGCCCCGGCUAAUUAUGUGCCAGCAGCCGCGGUAAUACAUAAGGGGCGAGCGUUAUCCGGAAUUAUUGGGCGUAAAGGGUGCGUAGGCGGUUUAAUAAGUCUAUAGUUUAAUUUCAGUGCUUAACGCUGUUGUGCUAUAGAAACUGUUUUACUAGAGUGAGUUAGAGGCAAGCGGAAUUCCAUGUGUAGCGGUAAAAUGCGUAAAUAUAUGGAGGAACACCAGAGGCGUAGGCGGCUUGCUGGGACUUUACUGACGCUGAGGCACGAAAGCGUGGGGAGCAAACAGGAUUAGAUACCCUGGUAGUCCACGCCGUAAACGAUGAGUACUAAGUGUCGGGUAAGACCGGUACUGAAGUUAACACAUUAAGUACUCCGCCUGAGUAGUACGUACGCAAGUAUGAAACUUAAAGGAAUUGACGGGACUCCGCACAAGCGGUGGAUCAUGUUGUUUAAUUCGAAGAUACACGAAAAACCUUACCAGGUCUUGACAUUUUCUUGCGAAGUUAUAGAAAUAUAAUGGAGGUUAUCAGGAAAACAGGUGGUGCAUGGUUGUCGUCAGCUCGUGUCGUGAGAUGUUAGGUUAAGUCCUAAAACGAGCGCAACCCUUGUCGUUAAUUGCCAGCAUGUAAUGAUGGGGACUUUAACGAGACUGCCAAUGAAAAAUUGGAGGAAGGUGGGGAUUACGUCAAAUCAUCAUGCCCCUUAUGAUCUGGGCUACAAACGUGAUACAAUGGUUGAUACAAAGAGUAGCUGAAACGCGAGUUCUUAGCCAAUCUCACAAAAUCAAUCUCAGUUCGGAUUGAAGUCUGCAACUCGACUUCAUGAAGUUGGAAUCGCUAGUAAUCGCGAAUCAGCAUGUCGCGGUGAAUACGUUCUCGGGGUUUGUACACACCACCCG